RNAcentral lists this ribosomal RNA (564 nucleotides) under Schwanniomyces polymorphus. Its description in RNAcentral is "eukaryotic LSU rRNA". It matches the Rfam family "Eukaryotic large subunit ribosomal RNA", at positions 73 to 656 of the family's 3401-position model. The record is from RNAcentral. Lineage: Eukaryota; Fungi; Ascomycota; Pichiomycetes; Serinales; Debaryomycetaceae.
AUGCCUCAGUACGGCGAGUGAAGCGGCAAAAGCUCAAAUUUGAAAUCUGGCACCUUCGGUGUCCGAGUUGUAAUUUGAAGAAGGUAACUUUGGAGUUGGCUCUUGUCUAUGUUCCUUGGAACAGGACGUCACAGAGGGUGAGAAUCCCGUGCGAUGAGAUGCCCAAUUCUAUGUAAAGUGCUUUCGAAGAGUCGAGUUGUUUGGGAAUGCAGCUCUAAGUGGGUGGUAAAUUCCAUCUAAAGCUAAAUAUUGGCGAGAGACCGAUAGCGAACAAGUACAGUGAUGGAAAGAUGAAAAGAACUUUGAAAAGAGAGUGAAAAAGUACGUGAAAUUGUUGAAAGGGAAGGGCUUGAGAUCAGACUUGGUAUUUUGCAAGCCUUACCUUCGUGGUGGGGUCCCCUGCAGUUUACUGGGCCAGCAUCGGUUUGGAUGGUAGGAUAAUGACUUGGGAAUGUGACUUUGCUUCGGUAAAGUGUUAUAGCCCUUGUUGAUACUGCCUGUCUAGACCGAGGACUGCGUCUUUGACUAGGAUGCUGGCAUAAUGAUCUUAAGUCGCCCGUCUGA